GAUGAACGCUGGCGGCGUGCCUAAUACAUGCAAGUCGAACGAAACUUCUUUAUCACCGAGUGCUUGCACUCACCGAUAAAGAGUUGAGUGGCGAACGGGUGAGUAACACGUGGGCAACCUGCCCAAAAGAGGGGGAUAACACUUGGAAGCAGGUGCUAAUACCGCAUAACCAUAGUUACCGCAUGGUAACUAUGUAAAAGGUGGCUAUACUACCGCUUUUGGAUGGGCCCGCGGCGCAUUAGCUAGUUGGUAGGGUAAAGGCUUACCAAGGCAAUGAUGCGUAGCCGAAUUGAGAGGUUGAUCGGCCACAUUGGGACUGAGACACGGCCCAAACUCCUACGGGAGGCAGCAGUAGGGAAUCUUCCACAAUGGGCGAAAGCCUGAUGGAGCAACGCCGCGUGGGUGAAGAAGGUCUUCGGAUCGUAAAACCCUGUUGUUAGAGAAGAAAGUGCGUGAGAGUAACUGUUCACGUUUCGACGGUAUCUAACCAGAAAGCCACGGCUAACUACGUG
This 512-nucleotide ribosomal RNA is filed under the name uncultured bacterium. RNAcentral describes it as "partial 16S ribosomal RNA". It matches the Rfam family "Bacterial small subunit ribosomal RNA", at positions 28 to 507 of the family's 1533-position model. The record is from RNAcentral.